This 446-nucleotide ribosomal RNA is filed under the name uncultured bacterium. Its description in RNAcentral is "bacterial SSU rRNA". It matches the Rfam family "Bacterial small subunit ribosomal RNA", at positions 329 to 792 of the family's 1533-position model. The record is from RNAcentral.
UUCCAGACUCCUACGGGAGGCAGCAGUAGGGAAUUUUGCGCAAUGGGCGAAAGCCUGACGCAGCAACGCCGCGUGAUCGAGACGCCCUUCGGGGUGUAAAGAUCUGUCAGUGGGGACGAAACUUGACGGUACCCACAGAGGAAGCACCGGCUAACUCCGUGCCAGCAGCCGCGGUAAUACGGGGGGUGCAAGCGUUGUCCGGAUUUACUGGGUGUAAAGGGAGCGUAGACGGCAGUGCAAGUCUGAAGUGAAAGCCCCGGGCUUAACCCGGGAACUGCUUUGGAAACUGUACGGCUGGAGUGCUGGAGAGGUAAGCGGAAUUCCUAGUGUAGCGGUGAAAUGCGUAGAUAUUAGGAGGAACACCAGUGGCGAAGGCGGCUUACUGGACAGUAACUGACGUUGAGGCUCGAAAGCGUGGGGAGCAAACAGGAUUAGAUACCCGAGUA